This 263-nucleotide unclassified non-coding RNA is filed under the name Hevea brasiliensis (rubber tree). Lineage: Eukaryota; Viridiplantae; Streptophyta; Magnoliopsida; Malpighiales; Euphorbiaceae. The record is from RNAcentral.
AAGGGCAAAGGCGUUCUGCUGUUGCACGACAUCCAGGCGCGGACGCAGGCCGCUUUGCCUGUGAUCCUUCGCGAACUGAAGGCGCGCGGCUAUCGCAUCGUCCACGUUGUUCCGGCAACGCCGGAACGGCCCAAGACCGUCACCGUUCCCGCGCAAUGGGUUCCGUACUGGAUUCACGGCCCCAAUAUCGCGGCGAAGACUCCGAGCGGCUUUGUGUUCGGAGUGGCAGAAACACCGCUCCAUGAUGCUCCGCGGUCGGUGCG